RNAcentral lists this ribosomal RNA (497 nucleotides) under uncultured bacterium. RNAcentral describes it as "partial 16S ribosomal RNA". It matches the Rfam family "Bacterial small subunit ribosomal RNA", at positions 28 to 507 of the family's 1533-position model. The record is from RNAcentral.
GAUGAACGCUGGCGGCGUGCCUAAUACAUGCAAGUCGAGCGAACGGACGAGAAGCUUGCUUCUCUGAUGUUAGCGGCGGACGGGUGAGUAACACGUGGAUAACCUACCUAUAAGACUGGGAUAACUUCGGGAAACCGGAGCUAAUACCGGAUAAUAUUUUGAACCGCAUGGUUCAAAAGUGAAAGACGGUCUUGCUGUCACUUAUAGAUGGAUCCGCGCUGCAUUAGCUAGUUGGUAAGGUAACGGCUUACCAAGGCAACGAUGCAUAGCCGACCUGAGAGGGUGAUCGGCCACACUGGAACUGAGACACGGUCCAGACUCCUACGGGAGGCAGCAGUAGGGAAUCCUCCGCAAUGGGCGAAAGCCUGACGGGGCAACGCCGCGUGAGUGAUGAAGGUCUUCGGAUCGUAAAACUCUGUUAUUAGGGAAGAACAUAUGUGUAAGUAACUGUGCACAUCUUGACGGUACCUAAUCAGAAAGCCACGGCUAACUACGUG